AUGACCACGGCCACGACACAGAGGAAUGCAUUCAACUCCGAGAUGAGAUCGAGGAGCUCAUCAGACGAGGUUGGCUCGACAGGUUCAUUCGAUGCCGGCCUGAGGGUAGAGAGGAUCGGCCAAGGGCCCUGCCACAACCUGAGCCACCGAGGAGGGAAGAGCAGUCCGAAGAUCGGCCUCCAAUUGGGAUCAUCAACUCCAUCUCUGGAGGACCUUGACGGGGAGCAGACCUUCUACAGCCCUG
This 244-nucleotide long non-coding RNA is filed under the name Elaeis guineensis (African oil palm). RNAcentral's name for it is "long non-coding RNA (EGUI_LNC065544)". The record is from RNAcentral. Lineage: Eukaryota; Viridiplantae; Streptophyta; Magnoliopsida; Arecales; Arecaceae.